RNAcentral lists this ribosomal RNA (497 nucleotides) under uncultured bacterium. Its description in RNAcentral is "partial 16S ribosomal RNA". It matches the Rfam family "Bacterial small subunit ribosomal RNA", at positions 28 to 507 of the family's 1533-position model. The record is from RNAcentral.
GAUGAACGCUGGCGGCGUGCCUAAUACAUGCAAGUCGAGCGAACAGACGAGGAGCUUGCUCCUCUGACGUUAGCGGCGGACGGGUGAGUAACACGUGGAUAACCUACCUAUAAGACUGGGAUAACUUCGGGAAACCGGAGCUAAUACCGGAUAAUAUAUUGAACCGCAUGGUUCAAUAGUGAAAGACGGUUUUGCUGUCACUUAUAGAUGGAUCCGCGCCGCAUUAGCUAGUUGGUAAGGUAACGGCUUACCAAGGCAACGAUGCGUAGCCGACCUGAGAGGGUGAACGGCAACACUGGAACUGAGACACGGUCCAGACUCCUACGGGAGGCAGCAGUAGGGAAUCUUCCGAAAUGGGCGAAAGCCUGACGGAGCAACGACGCGUGAGUGAUGAAGGUCUUCGAAUCGUAAAACUCUGUUAUUAGGGAAGAACAAAUGUGUAAGUAACAAUGCACGUCUUGACGGUACCUAAUCAGAAAGCCACGGCUAACUACGUG